CUACACUCGAACCCCCGCUGGUCUGCCCCCAGCACAGAUUCUAGUUCUUCUGGGUCAAAAGUUGGGAUAGGUCUAGGCCAUAAAAGCAAACACCUAGAAUGAGUUUUGGGCUUUAGAGACCCGAUGUUUGGUUGCAUGUUGCAGAUCCCACUGAAAAUGCUAGAAGCAGAAAAUCAUGAGGUGGGCCUCUCUGAUGGUAAGAAGAGAGCUGCCCAGGUGCCUCUUCCAUGUCUGAGACCAGCGGAAAAGACCGGGCCUGUGUCCUGGGCACCCAUGGAAGGCCCCUGGGUUGUCUUGGUGUGGUGGCCAGGUCCCCUCCACACUGGUCACUGUUGCCAGGGCGGACAGGAGAAGCAGCAGAGCCUGAUUGGCCUGGGCUGAGUCACACAUCCUCCCACAGCCAGGGGUGGGGGUCCUAAGGGGGCUACAACUGUGGCCUCUGGGACCUGCAUCCGAUUGAGUCUAGGAAGACUGAAGGUGGAGCAGAUGGGGGGGCGGGAAGGGGUGGGGAACACAAAUGUGUACUCUGCGGGUCUCCCCUUGGGCAAGACGCUGGCUCCUGAAGCCAGAUGUUGUCUCCCUGCUGGAGCAGGAGGAACCAUGAGCGGUAGACGACGGGGUUCCCAGAGGCGUGUGCGCAGUGAGGGGAGAGCCUUGCAGGGCUGGGAGGGCCCCAGUCACACCCUGGGCACUCUCCAUGUCUGCUCUCACAUUCUUCAGAGUAAAUUGACUGUUCAGUU
Long non-coding RNA from Felis catus (domestic cat), 740 nucleotides. RefSeq lists it as uncharacterized. Lineage: Eukaryota; Metazoa; Chordata; Mammalia; Carnivora; Felidae. The record is from RefSeq and is a predicted model, not a curated record. The transcript is spliced from 2 exons.